Molecule: long non-coding RNA, 1207 nt
Organism: Elaeis guineensis (African oil palm)
Lineage: Eukaryota; Viridiplantae; Streptophyta; Magnoliopsida; Arecales; Arecaceae
Source: RefSeq, a predicted model, not a curated record
UUUAAUUCAUUAAGAAUCUAUUUAACUCGUUUAAUCUAUUAAAUCUAACUCGAUUUGUUUAAUAUGAAUCAAGUUGGAUCACCUAUUGGAUAAAAAUGCUAGUUUCAUAUAUAAAAUUUUUAGACUGUUUACUAAAUAGUUUGGAUUCGAAUUGGUAAAUUUUUAAUCCCACCUAUAUUCGGUCCGACCUGAUCGCCACCCUUAUCAGCAAUCAUAAUACGAUAAGAAAUAGCAUUCAACAAAGUGGAGAGCAGCCCUCAUGGCCGUUGGAGGCCGAUAUAGCAGCGCUUGUGAAACGUCGGACCGAAACCGUGGCCACGAUAAGACACGACAAGACGCGGGCACGAGAAGAGGCCAUGGCCCAGUAGAUAAGUGGAAAUGGCGACGGUGCACCCACUGCCAGCUACUGAACUUUAAAAAUCCCGUAGAUAUGCAAAUUAUGAGGAUCCCGACUCAAGAACCUUCGAUCGAGACAUCCACCCAAUGACGAAACUAGAUGCACCAUGGACCCGUGAAUUAACGGCUCAAGAUGGUUGACCUUUUUUUUGCCUUUAUUUUUUCUUGGGUACAUGAUCUUGUUGCACGUACCUAGAAGAAAAAAAAAUGUGAUGUACCACGCCGUGCAUACCGUCCCGACGUGGAUCGCACGAUUAAUGUCGGUCAACUCUUCCUCUAAUGCCUCCUUAACAAGUGGCCUCGACAUUGCUCCAACAGUUGCCUUCUAUAAAUGGUGCACCGCCUCUUCCAAUAUCCACAGUCGGUACCAAAAUCUGGAGGAGAUGGAUUCAGGGCUAAGUUGCUUUCUUCGUGCUCUCUAUUUUUUCUCCUUUCUUACCUUGGCUUUAAUGAGCAACAUCACUUUACUUUCAGGAGAAAAAGGGAAGAGACGCGGGUCUCUCGAGGUGAGCACCAAGGACUACAACUUCCCGCGGGCGAACCCGGGUCACGACCCCUGGGUGGGUCGUGGAGGCAGGAAGUUACUUUAAGUAACAAAGACACCCCAAGAGCCGCCAACUGGCCGUCUGAUGCAAGAUGGACGGACGGAUGGAGGAAGCGCUUUUCUUCUUUUUCUCGCAGGGGAUGGUGAAACAAAUAAAGUGGAAUGGAUGUAUUGUCGUUUUAAUCUUAACAGUCUUUGGUCUAUGUACGGUAAAUAAUGAAUUUUAUAAAAUUUUACAUGAUAUGUUACCUGAUCCUAUCUUUUUGA